UCCUCGUGAGCUUCUGAUGGGAGCGGAUGCUAGAUACUGCUUCGGGAGAUUCAACGCUCCAAAACGAGAGAGAAAUUAAGGGUCAGAGAAGCUGAAUACAAUUGAGAGUGAUGUCUUGAAGUGGGUUUCAUCUGCAAAUGUCCUGGUUCAUUUGAUGUACAUGUUGAGUUCCUUGGCCAGGUUUUUUUCCCUGUUCUUGUUCCAUGUGAGUUCCCUUGCUGGAUUUGCCCCGGAUGAAUC
This is a long non-coding RNA of Sinocyclocheilus anshuiensis, 240 nucleotides long. RefSeq lists it as uncharacterized. The record is from RefSeq and is a predicted model, not a curated record. Lineage: Eukaryota; Metazoa; Chordata; Actinopteri; Cypriniformes; Cyprinidae. The transcript is spliced from 3 exons.